UACGUAGGCAGCAAGCGUUGUUCGGAGUUACUGGGCGUAAAGGGUGUGUAGGCGGUUUUCUAAGUCUGGUGUGAAAUCUCCCGGCUCAACUGGGAGGGUGCGCCGAAAACUGGAAGGCUAGAGUGCGGGAUGGGAGAGUGGAAUUCCUGGUGUAGCGGUGAAAUGCGUAGAUAUCAGGAGGAACACCGGUGGCGAAGGCGGUUCUCUGGGCCUUACCUGACACUGAGGAGCGAAAGCGUGGGGAGCGAACAGG
This 253-nucleotide ribosomal RNA is filed under the name uncultured bacterium. Its description in RNAcentral is "partial 16S ribosomal RNA". It matches the Rfam family "Bacterial small subunit ribosomal RNA", at positions 524 to 776 of the family's 1533-position model. The record is from RNAcentral.